RNAcentral lists this ribosomal RNA (1281 nucleotides) under Sogatella furcifera (white-backed planthopper). RNAcentral describes it as "SSU rRNA". It matches the Rfam family "Eukaryotic small subunit ribosomal RNA", at positions 455 to 1670 of the family's 1831-position model. Lineage: Eukaryota; Metazoa; Arthropoda; Insecta; Hemiptera; Delphacidae. The record is from RNAcentral.
CACGGGGAGGUAGUGACGAAAAAUAACGAUACGGGACUCAUCCGAGGCCCCGUAAUCGGAAUGAGUAUACUCUAAAUCCUUGUACAAGUAUCAAUUGGAGGGCAAGUCCGGUGCCAGCAGCCGCGGUAAUUCCAGCUCCAAUAGCGUAUAUUAAAGUUGUUGCGGUUAAAAAGCUCGUAGUUGGAUCUGUGUCCUUCGACGCCGGUUCACCGCAUGUCGGUGCCAACUGGCGUUUUGCGGGACGUCUUGUCGGUGGUGUGCCAGGGAUCUUUGUUGUGCUGGGCUUUGCCCUAGUGCAGCUCUGGUUUCGGGCCACUUUCAUAAUCCCGCCGCGGUGCUCUUAAUCGGGUGUCGAGGCGGGCCGGCACGUUUACUUUGAACAAAUUAGAGUGCUUAAAGCAGGCUUGUCACGCCUGUAUACUGUGUGCAUGGAAUAAUGGAAUAGGACCUCGGUUCUAUUUUGUUGGUUUCCGGAAUCUGAGGUAAUGAUCAAUGGGGACAGGCGGGGGCAUUCGUAUUGCGACGUUAGAGGUGAAAUUCUUGGAUCGUCGCAAGACGGACCGAAGCGAAAGCAUUUGCCAAGUAUGUUCCCGUCGAUCAAGAACGAAAGUUAGAGGUUCGAAGGCGAUCAGAUACCGCCCUAGUUCUAACCAUAAACAAUGCCUGCCAGCGAUCCGCCGGCGUCUUUUCCGAUGACCCGGCGGGCAGCUUCCGGGAAACCAGAGCUUUUGGGUUCCGGGGGAAGUAUGGUUGCAAAGCUGAAACUUAAAGGAAUUGACGGAAGGGCACCACCAGGAGUGGAGCCUGCGGCUUAAUUUGACUCAACACGGGAAAACUCACCAGGCCCGGACACCGGAAGGAUUGACAGAUUGAUAGCUCUUUCUUGAUUCGGUGGGUGGUGGUGCAUGGCCGUUCUUAGUUGGUGGAGCGAUUUGUCUGGUUAAUUCCGAUAACGAACGAGACUCUAGCCUACUAACUAGACGUAUCUGGUAUCAGCAAUCGUGCUACCAGCGAUCAUAUCUCUUCUUAGAGGGACAGGCGGCUUCUAGCCGCACGAGACUGAGCAAUAACAGGUCUGUGAUGCCCUUAGAUGUCCUGGGCCGCACGCGCGCUACACUGAAGGAAUCAGCGUGUCUUCCCUGUCCGAAAGGACCGGGUAACCCGCUGAACCUCCUUCGUGCUUGGGAUUGGGGCUUGCAAUUAUUCCCCAUGAACGAGGAAUUCCCAGUAAGCGCGAGUCAUAAGCUCGCGUUGAUUACGUCCCUGCCCUUUGUACACACC